AGAAUCAACGCUGGCGGCGUGCCUAACACAUGCAAGUCGAACGAGAAAGUGGUAGCAAUACCAUGAGUAAAGUGGCGCACGGGUGAGUAACACGUGACUAACCUACCCUGGAGUGGGGGAUAACUGAGGGAAACCUUAGCUAAUACCGCAUAACACCUACGGGUCAAAGGAGCAAUUCGCUUCAGGAGGGGGUCGCGGCAGAUUAGCUAGUUGGCGGGGUAAUGGCCCACCAAGGCAGUGAUCUGUAU
RNAcentral lists this ribosomal RNA (248 nucleotides) under uncultured bacterium. RNAcentral describes it as "partial small subunit ribosomal RNA". It matches the Rfam family "Bacterial small subunit ribosomal RNA", at positions 26 to 286 of the family's 1533-position model. The record is from RNAcentral.